This is a long non-coding RNA of Dermacentor andersoni, 242 nucleotides long. RefSeq lists it as uncharacterized. The record is from RefSeq and is a predicted model, not a curated record. NCBI's taxonomy places the organism in Eukaryota, Metazoa, Arthropoda, Arachnida, Ixodida, Ixodidae.
UGCCUAUUUACAUGGCGUCUGUCUUUAGGGAUCGGUUGCGCUGCGAAGCGGUCGUUACAGCUUUUUAUUUUCACAGACUGAACAUCCAAUGUCUUGGUUCUACUUCCUGGUACAGGAUACUUGCACUUAGCAUGGAGUAAUGAAGCAGAGCAGUGUACUUUUAUUAAAUGCGUAGAUUUUAGCAGUGUAACAGCAGUUCAUCAAAAAAAAUGUGUGCUGGAAAUAAAGUGUUCCUACCCACA